UACGUAGGGGGCAAGCGUUGUCCGGAUUUAUUGGGCGUAAAGAGCGUGUAGGCGGCUUGGUAAGUCCGCUGUGAAAGCCCAGGGCUCAACCCUGGAAAGGCGGUGGAAACUGUCAAGCUUGAGUCCGGAAGAGGCGAGUGGAAUUCCUGGUGUAGCGGUGAAAUGCGCAGAUAUCAGGAGGAACACCGGUGGCGAAGGCGGUGGUCUGGGCCGGUACUGACGCUGAGGAGCGAAAGCGUGGGGAGCGAACAGG
Molecule: ribosomal RNA, 253 nt
Filed under: uncultured bacterium
Lineage: Bacteria
Description: partial 16S ribosomal RNA
Rfam family: Bacterial small subunit ribosomal RNA
Source: RNAcentral